This 579-nucleotide ribosomal RNA is filed under the name Salmonella enterica subsp. enterica serovar Weltevreden. Its description in RNAcentral is "partial 23S ribosomal RNA". It matches the Rfam family "Bacterial large subunit ribosomal RNA", at positions 2186 to 2764 of the family's 2925-position model. The record is from RNAcentral. Lineage: Bacteria; Pseudomonadati; Pseudomonadota; Gammaproteobacteria; Enterobacterales; Enterobacteriaceae.
CCGACCUUGAAAUACCACCCUUUAAUGUUUGAUGUUCUAACGUGGACCCGUUACCCGGGUUGCGGACAGUGUCUGGUGGGUAGUUUGACUGGGGCGGUCUCCUCCUAAAGAGUAACGGAGGAGCACGAAGGUUGGCUAAUCCUGGUCGGACAUCAGGAGGUUAGUGCAAUGGCAUAAGCCAGCUUGACUGCGAGCGUGACGGCGCGAGCAGGUGCGAAAGCAGGUCAUAGUGAUCCGGUGGUUCUGAAUGGAAGGGCCAUCGCUCAACGGAUAAAAGGUACUCCGGGGAUAACAGGCUGAUACCGCCCAAGAGUUCAUAUCGACGGCGGUGUUUGGCACCUCGAUGUCGGCUCAUCACAUCCUGGGGCUGAAGUAGGUCCCAAGGGUAUGGCUGUUCGCCAUUUAAAGUGGUACGCGAGCUGGGUUUAGAACGUCGUGAGACAGUUCGGUCCCUAUCUGCCGUGGGCGCUGGAGAACUGAGGGGGGCUGCUCCUAGUACGAGAGGACCGGAGUGGACGCAUCACUGGUGUUCGGGUUGUCAUGCCAAUGGCACUGCCCGGUAGCUAAAUGCGGAAGAGA